UACGUAGGGGGCAAGCGUUGUCCGGAUUUAUUGGGCGUAAAGAGCUCGUAGGCGGUUUGGUAAGUCUGGUGUGAAAUCUCCACGCUCAACGUGGAGGGGCCACCCGAUACUGCCAUGACUGGAGUGAUGUAGGGGAGACUGGAAUUCCUGGUGUAGCGGUGAAAUGCGCAGAUAUCAGGAGGAACACCGGUGGCGAAGGCGGCCUUCUGGACAGCAUCUGACGCUGAGACGCGAAAGCGUGGGGAGCAAACAGG
This 254-nucleotide ribosomal RNA is filed under the name uncultured bacterium. Its description in RNAcentral is "partial 16S ribosomal RNA". It matches the Rfam family "Bacterial small subunit ribosomal RNA", at positions 524 to 776 of the family's 1533-position model. The record is from RNAcentral.